AUCUCUGAGCAGUGGAUCACUCGGCUUGUGCAUCAGUGAAGAACACAGCUAGCUGUGAGAAUUAAUGUUAUUUGCAGGACACAUUGAUCAUCAACACUUUGAACGGACUUUGCAGUCCCAGGUUACUCCUGGGGCUAUGCCUGUCUGAGGUCG
Protopterus annectens (West African lungfish) is the source of this 153-nucleotide ribosomal RNA. RefSeq annotates it as 5.8S ribosomal RNA. The transcript has a single exon. The record is from RefSeq and is a predicted model, not a curated record. Lineage: Eukaryota; Metazoa; Chordata; Ceratodontiformes; Protopteridae.